This 405-nucleotide ribosomal RNA is filed under the name Triticum aestivum (bread wheat). RNAcentral describes it as "partial small subunit ribosomal RNA". The record is from RNAcentral. Lineage: Eukaryota; Viridiplantae; Streptophyta; Magnoliopsida; Poales; Poaceae.
AUGGGUAGAGGAAGAGGCAGAGGCAGAGGAAGGACGGCAGCCAUUGCCAGGAGCCAUGAAGACAAAGGAAGCAGCGGCGAAGAGGUGGUGCCAGCGAGAAAGAGGAGAGGGAGGCCGCAGAAGCACUUCGCCGAUAAAAUCGAACAGGUUGAUGUUGAGAAUUUCGUAGAAGACGUCGAUGGCGGCGAUGAAGAUGGCAAAGAUGUUAAACUGAAUGCAAGUGCUGGUGUGAAGAGAGGCAGGCCACUGAAGGAGAGCCCCAACAUCGUCCUGGAAGAGAACAGCAAUUCCAGCGUUCGAUCAAGCAGCGAUGAAUCGGCCAGGACCAAUGGAUUCAGGCAGAUUGGGAACCGGAGGAAGAGCACGCCACGGCGAGCAGCGGAAGCGGGCCUAGAAUGCAAGUGA